UUGUUAACGACAUUGCUCACAUUGCUUCCAGUUUUAGCAGGCCAACCACUUUGAGUUGGCCUUUUUUU
This 68-nucleotide non-coding RNA is filed under the name Providencia stuartii. RNAcentral also lists the same sequence under 1 other name. The record is from RNAcentral. Lineage: Bacteria; Pseudomonadati; Pseudomonadota; Gammaproteobacteria; Enterobacterales; Morganellaceae.